RNAcentral lists this ribosomal RNA (736 nucleotides) under Lactiplantibacillus plantarum. Its description in RNAcentral is "bacterial SSU rRNA". It matches the Rfam family "Bacterial small subunit ribosomal RNA", at positions 56 to 757 of the family's 1533-position model. Lineage: Bacteria; Bacillati; Bacillota; Bacilli; Lactobacillales; Lactobacillaceae. The record is from RNAcentral.
UGCAAGUCGAACGAACUCUGGUAUUGAUUGGUGCUUGCAUCAUGAUUUACAUUUGAGUGAGUGGCGAACUGGUGAGUAACACGUGGGAAACCUGCCCAGAAGCGGGGGAUAACACCUGGAAACAGAUGCUAAUACCGCAUAACAACUUGGACCGCAUGGUCCGAGCUUGAAAGAUGGCUUCGGCUAUCACUUUUGGAUGGUCCCGCGGCGUAUUAGCUAGAUGGUGGGGUAACGGCUCACCAUGGCAAUGAUACGUAGCCGACCUGAGAGGGUAAUCGGCCACAUUGGGACUGAGACACGGCCCAAACUCCUACGGGAGGCAGCAGUAGGGAAUCUUCCACAAUGGACGAAAGUCUGAUGGAGCAACGCCGCGUGAGUGAAGAAGGGUUUCGGCUCGUAAAACUCUGUUGUUAAAGAAGAACAUAUCUGAGAGUAACUGUUCAGGUAUUGACGGUAUUUAACCAGAAAGCCACGGCUAACUACGUGCCAGCAGCCGCGGUAAUACGUAGGUGGCAAGCGUUGUCCGGAUUUAUUGGGCGUAAAGCGAGCGCAGGCGGUUUUUUAAGUCUGAUGUGAAAGCCUUCGGCUCAACCGAAGAAGUGCAUCGGAAACUGGGAAACUUGAGUGCAGAAGAGGACAGUGGAACUCCAUGUGUAGCGGUGAAAUGCGUAGAUAUAUGGAAGAACACCAGUGGCGAAGGCGGCUGUCUGGUCUGUAACUGACGCUGAGGCUCGAA